AAGACUAUAGACCUGCGGAGUACCUGCGGAAGGAUCAUUAAUGAGAAACUGCCCCUCGCGGGUAGAUCUCCCACCCUUUGUAAACUUACCUUUGUUGCUUUGGCAGGCCCGUCUCCGGACCGCCGGCUUCGGCUGGCCAGUGCCUGCCAGAGGAUUCUAAAACUCUGUCUGUCAGUGUUGUCUGAGUCUAUAUACAAUCGUUAAAACUUUCAACAAUGGAUCUCUAGAUCGGAAGAGCAC
Molecule: unclassified non-coding RNA, 240 nt
Filed under: soil metagenome
Description: partial contains 5.8S ribosomal RNA, internal transcribed spacer 2, and large subunit ribosomal RNA
Source: RNAcentral